This 335-nucleotide unclassified non-coding RNA is filed under the name soil metagenome. RNAcentral's name for it is "partial contains 5.8S ribosomal RNA, internal transcribed spacer 2, and large subunit ribosomal RNA". The stretch from base 1 to 120 matches the Rfam family "5.8S ribosomal RNA", at positions 35 to 154 of the family's 154-position model. The record is from RNAcentral.
GAUGAAGAACGUAGCGAAAUGCGAUAAGUAAUGUGAAUUGCAGAAUUCAGUGAAUCAUCGAAUCUUUGAACGCACAUUGCGCCCGCUAGUACUCUAGCGGGCAUGCCUGUUCGAGCGUCAUUUCAACCAUCAAGCCCCCGGCUUGUGUUGGGGACCUGCGGCUGCCGCAGGCCCUGAAAACCAGUGGCGGGCUCGCUAGUCACUCCGAGCGUAGUAGUUACAUCUCGCUCAGGGCGUGCUGCGGGUUCCGGCCGUUAAAAGCCUUAUUUACCCAAGGUUGACCUCGGAUCAGGUAGGAAGACCCGCUGAACUUAAGCAUAUCAAUAAGCGGAGGA